GACGAACGCUGGCGGCGUGCCUAAUACAUGCAAGUAGAACGCUGAAGGAGGAGCUUGCUUCUCUGGAUGAGUUGCGAACGGGUGAGUAACGCGUAGGUAACCUGCCUGGUAGCGGGGGAUAACUAUUGGAAACGAUAGCUAAUACCGCAUAAGAGUAGAUGUCGCAUGACAUUUGCUUAAAAGGUGCAAUUGCAUCACUACCAGAUGGACCUGCGUUGUAUUAGCUAGUUGGUGAGGUAACGGCUCACCAAGGCAACGAUACAUAGCCGACCUGAGAGGGGGAUCGGCCACACUGGGACUGUGACACGGCCCAGACUCAUACGGGAGGCAGCAGUAGGGAAUCUUCGGCAAUGGACGGAAGACUGACCGCGCAACGCCGCGUGAGUGAAGAAGGUCUUCGGAUCGUAAAGCUCUGUUGUAAGAGAAGAACGAGUGUGAGAGUGGAAAGUUCACACUGUGACGGUACCUUACCAGAAAGGGACGGCUAACUACGUG
RNAcentral lists this ribosomal RNA (495 nucleotides) under uncultured bacterium. Its description in RNAcentral is "partial 16S ribosomal RNA". It matches the Rfam family "Bacterial small subunit ribosomal RNA", at positions 28 to 507 of the family's 1533-position model. The record is from RNAcentral.